UAGGGCGGGACACGAGGAAUCCUGUCUGAAUCCGGGUCGACCACGAUCCAACCCUAAAUACUAAUACCAGAUCGAUAGUGCACAAGUACCGUGAGGGAAAGGUGAAAAGAACUGAGGUGAUCAGAGUGAAAUAGAACCUGAAACCAUUUGCUUACAAUCAUUCAGAGCACUAUGUAGCAAUACAGUGUGAUGGACUGCCUUUUGCAUAAUGAGCCUGCGAGUUGUGGUGUCUGGCAAGGUUAAGCAAACGCGAAGCCGUAGCGAAAGCGAGUCUGAAUAGGGCGCUUAGUCAGAUGCUGCAGACCCGAAACGAAGUGAUCUAUCCAUGAGCAAGUUGAAGCUAGUGUAAGAACUAGUGGAGGACUGAACCCAUAGGCGUUGAAAAGCCCCGGGAUGACUUGUGGAUAGGGGUGAAAGGCCAAUCAAACUUCGUGAUAGCUGGUUCUCUCCGAAAUAUAUUUAGGUAUAGCGUUGUGUCGUAAUAUAAGGGGGUAGAGCACUGAAUGGGCUAGGGCAUACACCAAUGUACCAAACCCUAUCAAACUCCGAAUACCUUAUAUGUAAUCACAGCAGUCAGGCGGCGAGUGAUAAAAUCCGUCGUCAAGAGGGAAACAACCCAGACUACCAGCUAAGGUCCCUAAAUCUUACUUAAGUGGAAAACGAUGUGAAGUUACUUAAACAACCAGGAGGUUGGCUUAGAAGCAGCCAUCCUUUAAAGAAAGCGUAAUAGCUCACUGGUCUAGUGAUUUUGCGCGGAAAAUA
This 762-nucleotide ribosomal RNA is filed under the name Campylobacter jejuni. Its description in RNAcentral is "partial 23S ribosomal RNA". It matches the Rfam family "Bacterial large subunit ribosomal RNA", at positions 413 to 1172 of the family's 2925-position model. The record is from RNAcentral. Lineage: Bacteria; Pseudomonadati; Campylobacterota; Epsilonproteobacteria; Campylobacterales; Campylobacteraceae.